This is a long non-coding RNA of Melanotaenia boesemani (Boeseman's rainbowfish), 218 nucleotides long. RefSeq lists it as uncharacterized. NCBI's taxonomy places the organism in Eukaryota, Metazoa, Chordata, Actinopteri, Atheriniformes, Melanotaeniidae. The transcript has 3 exons. The record is from RefSeq and is a predicted model, not a curated record.
CUCUCCUCUUCCUCCUCCUCCACCUCCUCCUCCUCCUGGUCUCCCUGCAGUCUUGGGUCCAGCUUACCCUGCUCCCGUCAUCCUGCAGGCGGCUCACCUGACCAGUCCGGUCAGCGCUCUGCCGUGUUUUCGGCUCCUUAAUGGCCAGUUCUUGGUCCCUUUUGGAUCCCAGAUGCCAGCCCGUCCUGCUGCAGCCACCCUGAACCCCUGCCGCUCAC